This 253-nucleotide ribosomal RNA is filed under the name uncultured bacterium. Its description in RNAcentral is "partial 16S ribosomal RNA". It matches the Rfam family "Bacterial small subunit ribosomal RNA", at positions 524 to 776 of the family's 1533-position model. The record is from RNAcentral.
UACGUAGGGGGCAAGCGUUGUCCGGAUUUAUUGGGCGUAAAGAGCGUGUAGGCGGCCAGGUAGGUCCGUUGUGAAAACUCGAGGCUUAACCUCGAGACGUCGAUGGAAACCGUCUGGCUAGAGUCCGGAAGAGGAGUGUGGAAUUUCUGGUGUAGCGGUGAAAUGCGCAGAUAUCAGGAAGAACACCUAUGGCGAAGGCAGCACUCUGGGACGGUACUGACGCUGAGACGCGAAAGCGUGGGGAGCGAACAGG